Molecule: ribosomal RNA, 439 nt
Filed under: uncultured bacterium
Lineage: Bacteria
Description: partial 16S ribosomal RNA
Rfam family: Bacterial small subunit ribosomal RNA
Source: RNAcentral
CUACGGGAUGCACCAGUGGGGAAUAUUGCACAAUGGGCGCAAGCCUGAUGCAGCGACGCCGCGUGAGUGAUGAAGUAUUUCGGUAUGUAAAGCUCUAUCAGCAGGGAAGAAAAUGACGGUACCUGACUAAGAAGCCCCGGCUAACUACGUGCCAGCAGCCGCGGUAAUACGUAGGGGGCAAGCGUUAUCCGGAUUUACUGGGUGUAAAGGGAGCGUAGGUGGCAAGGCAAGUCAGAAGUGAAAACCCAGAGCUCAACUUUGGGACUGCUUUUGAAACUGUCUAGCUAGAGUGCAGGAGAGGUAAGCGGAAUUCCUAGUGUAGCGGUGAAAUGCGUAGAUAUUAGGAGGAACACCAGUGGCGAAGGCGGCUUACUGGACUGUAACUGACACUGAGGCUCGAAAGCGUGGGGAGCAAACAGGAUUAGAUACCCUCGUAGUC